UACGGAGGGGGCGAGCGUUAUUCGGAAUUAUUGGGCGUAAAGCGUGCGCAGGCGGUUAUGUAAGACAGAUGUGAAAUGCCCGGGCUUAACCUGGGAACUGCAUUUGUGACUGCAUGGCUAGAGUUUGGCAGAGGGGGGUAGAAUUCCACGUGUAGCAGUGAAAUGCGUAGAUAUGUGGAGGAACACCGAUGGCGAAGGCAGCCCCCUGGGUCAAGACUGACGCUCAUGCACGAAAGCGUGGGGAGCAAACAGG
RNAcentral lists this ribosomal RNA (253 nucleotides) under uncultured bacterium. Its description in RNAcentral is "partial 16S ribosomal RNA". It matches the Rfam family "Bacterial small subunit ribosomal RNA", at positions 524 to 776 of the family's 1533-position model. The record is from RNAcentral.